AGCGAUGCUAUAUAGUGCGAAUCCGGUUCCACGAAAUUUCACGAAUGCUUACAUUUACUUUUUUUCAUGUGCGCAACAUUUGUUAUCUCACUCUUUUUUCCCUUCUAAAAGAUUUAAUAAUUAAUUAAAUUAAAUAUAAAAGGAGAAGAGCACCGUUCCAUCCAGUUCAGUAUCUAACCAAUGAAUCAGUAUUUAUCAACAACAAAAAAAAGAAAUUAAGAACCAGUGUUAUGGUCCUUACCUCUACCAUCAAUGCUGAUUCAUAAUUUCAUAUAAAUGAAAGUGACACAAUUUGUUUAUCACUACUUUGCGCCUAUGCAAAAGACAAGACAAUAAACUCCAUGAAACUCAUUCUGUUUUAUGUAUGAAAUUCUCAAUCCAUAAGUAUUAUUACUUGAGCUAUCUAAUAGCCAUCCAAG
Molecule: long non-coding RNA, 419 nt
Filed under: Trifolium pratense (red clover)
Lineage: Eukaryota; Viridiplantae; Streptophyta; Magnoliopsida; Fabales; Fabaceae
Description: long non-coding RNA (TPRA_LNC005012)
Source: RNAcentral